UGAUGUGCUUUGCUGCAUGUCUUCUGGGA
This 29-nucleotide non-coding RNA is filed under the name Mus musculus (house mouse). Lineage: Eukaryota; Metazoa; Chordata; Mammalia; Rodentia; Muridae. The record is from RNAcentral.